UAUCUAAGUAAAAAUUGUCUUGUUUUCAAUGUAUUCUGGUUGUUUUACCAGAACUGUGUAAUCUUUUACCAGAAUUAUGUAACCUUGGUCAAGAUUGUACCGAGCGCAAGUAAGUUUUACCAAAUUUGGCGUAAGAUGUUCAUAACGUUGUGUAAACAUUACCGACUUAGGGGGUAUAAUUCCCACGUGCAGGCGCCACGCACGGCCGGAAACGCAGUCAUCGCGAUGUUGCUUGCGCUGCCUUAGUUACUUACUCCAAUCCUCCAUGCUACAACUAGCGAUGACAGCUGACGUUCAUGCGUUAGAGAUGGAAAGGAUGAAACAAAACUUGUGUGACUGGGGCUUUGGAAGUCUGGUACAAAUAUUCGAAGGAAAACAUGAGCCUGGAUCAAUAUCUGAAGGAGAUUGACUGCAAGUCGCAUUCUCAGCCAUACAUCCUGGCACUUGGUGGAACUCCCAUUUCACCACAGCAAGUAUUCGUUGUCAUCGAGGAAGGCUAUGCUGCAACCAUCGCUUACCAAGGCCCUUGAUGUGUGCUUUAAGUUGUAUUUUGUAUGCGAUCUACAGUAGCAGGAUAAGUGCUAUGGUGCUUGGGAGUUUCUUGAAGCGGUUGUGUAUGGCAUAAAGGGAAAAACAGUUAAAAGCAGCGCAAUCAGGGAUUUCCGAGCAUUCUGCUCCAGCAAAAUGUGAGCUCUUCACAAGUUCAUGGUGUUUCAGGUUUUCAAAAAGUUAAGUUAAUAACCAAGUUUACUAACAGAAUGCCUAAGAGCUAAAAGUUCUUGUCUUUAUUUACAUGCAAGCUAGAAAAAAACCUAACUGUGUUUUAUCUGACUAUUGACUUAUGUUUAAUGCUGUAAGCUUUUGUAAGAGUCUGUUUCGAUAAAGGACAUACAUGUUGCCCUUUACUGAUGUAGUAUUAUUAAGUAUUGUAUGUUCAGUGCUAGCCAAGUCCGACAGGAGCACAGCAGGCUUGAAAAUAUAAAUUCUCGCUAAUUUUUGGACUGCAUUGUCGAUACAAGACUGACAAUUAAUACUAUAUUGGUGAAAGGAAAAUCUCAAUGUUUAAAAUGUACACCUCCCCAACAUAAAAACAAAAUAAUUAUCAGUCCAAGAAUGUUCUCAACAAUUUACAUGUGUCAGUAAUUUUUUCAUACCCCCACCCCUCCAAAAAGUAAUAGCCAUUUGGCCUUUGAGUUUUGUAUACAUAGAAAUGAAUGUUUGCAUAGAACUAAAAGACAUAAUACAAGGUGUUAAAUCAAUUCAUCAAUAAGAGGUAAAACCUAAAUCCCAUAAUUAAAGUGUUUAUAAACACUUUAAUUAUGGGAUUCAGGUUUUCUGUAGGUUUUUUGUAUUUUGAACUCCUUUUUCUAUGACCAGUUGAUCUGGUUUUGUUACACAUGUUGACCUAUAACUGUUUUGGUGUUUUACUGUUGUUACAAAUCAAAACUGAAGUAUGUGGACAAACAGUACUGUUUUCAGUACAUGUUAACUUUAAAAGAUUGCCAAAUCCUGCAAUGCGAUUCUUUGUAUACUGAAUUAUUUUACAAUAAGUAAUUGAGAAUAAAUUGAAGUUUUAUAUUUAUAAA
Long non-coding RNA from Asterias rubens (European starfish), 1586 nucleotides. RefSeq lists it as uncharacterized. The transcript is spliced from 2 exons. The record is from RefSeq and is a predicted model, not a curated record. Lineage: Eukaryota; Metazoa; Echinodermata; Asteroidea; Forcipulatida; Asteriidae.